AUACGUAGGUGGCAAGCGUUGUCCGGAAUUAUUGGGCGUAAAGCGCGCGCAGGCGGUCCUUUAAGUCUGAUGUGAAAGCCCACGGCUCAACCGUGGAGGGUCAUUGGAAACUGGGGGACUUGAGUGCAGAAGAGGAAAGUGGAAUUCCAAGUGUAGCGGUGAAAUGCGUAGAGAUUUGGAGGAACACCAGUGGCGAAGGCGACUUUCGGGUCUGUAACGGACGCUGAGGCGCGAAAGCGUGGGGAGCAAACAGGAUUAGAUACCCUGGUAGUCCACGCCGUAAACGAUGAGUGCUAAGUGUUAGGGGGUUUCCGCCCCUCAGUGCUGCAGUUAACGCAUUAAGCACUCCGCCUGGGGAGUACGGUCGCAAGACUGAAACUCAAAGGAAUUGACGGGG
This 397-nucleotide ribosomal RNA is filed under the name uncultured bacterium. RNAcentral's name for it is "partial 16S ribosomal RNA". It matches the Rfam family "Bacterial small subunit ribosomal RNA", at positions 523 to 918 of the family's 1533-position model. The record is from RNAcentral.